AUUCUGGUGAGUUGUUUAUGAUCCUAUACUGAACAAAAGGAAUAUCAUGCUAGCACUAACUAGCGCCAUUAACCAAAUAACCUCAACAAAAGGUAUAGGCGACGGUUUCAGUGUGCAUCUCCAUUUAGUCGUUUUCUCUCGGCAUGCAAAACGUGUAAGCCGAUCUGCUAGAGGAAAAGUUUGGGCUUUUAUAGGAUUUUUGUGCUUGCAUUGUGGUUAAGUUGGUGGCUGGUGCUCUAGUCACUGACCGAAAGAAAGCUCUGAAUGCUUUGGGUAGGGCAUCCACAAAAAGCAUGAAAAGUUGUUUGGACAUUUACCUGCACGCUGAACGCCUGAAGAUGCAGAAAACACGGGGACUCUGUCACGAUCGCUUUCAUGUGUGACAUGGAGAAAGCAUAGCUGCGCCAUGUGACGAUGGUGGUUACACCAAGAGCCUGUGGCGAAUUGCUGCUGAAGCUUCCCUUUUCCAUUACAAAUGAAAUGUUGCUGUCAUGAUGGAAAACGUGGUCUCGUGCUCUUCAGAAUUCCUUUGCACCAUGAUAGGAGCAAGAGACUGACUAAUUUGGUGGCCAGCAAGCACGAUGCGAAGAGGAGCGGAAAUAUGCUACUGGCAGUUCCCUCUGUUCUCAUCCCUCCACAGCAUCCGUCAAGGCCGGCGGCAUCAGGUUGUAGAAGCGGCCAGCGGCGCGGCUCCUUCCUCGAAGCUGCCGUGAACCCCGGCAGUAUAUCAGGUGGGUACCCUCCCUCUCGGCUGCGGCAGAGGCUGAGACUAGCAGCGGCCGCCGCCACCAACCGAACCAUGUCGCCCACCCCAGCGGCGGCGCCCAGCGGCGACGAGGAGUUCACGGAGGUGGUGGUGGUGCGGCAUGGGGAGACCUCCUGGAACGCCUCCCGCAUCGUCCAGGGACAAAUGGACCCAGAUCUAAAUGAGAUUGGUAGAGAGCAGGCCGUUGUGGUCGCUCAUCGGCUGUCAAGAGAGGCCAAACCAGCUGCCAUAUACUCUUCCGAUUUGAAGCGUGCUGCUGAGACUGCAGAAAUUAUAGCAAAAGUUUGUGAUGUAUCAAAUUUGGUGCUGAAUGAGGCACUGAGAGAAAGGCACAUGGGAUAUCUCCAAGGCUUGAAGUGGGAUGAUGCUGUAAAUAAAAAUCCAGAUGUUUUCAGGGGCUUUGAUAUUUUUAAAAUUACUGAGGGCUCUGAUCCUGACAGCAGGAACCAAGAAAUACCAGGUGGUGGAGAGAGUCUGAAUCAGUUAACUGAGCGAUGUGUCUCCUACUUGAAUAAGAUUGCCCAAGAACACAUAGAGGAGAUCUGCAGGCACACUGAUCCGACAAGCUCGGUUCCCAGGAGGAUAUUCCCAGCACUUCAAUCAGUGUCGUUCAUGUCCCCGGUUCCAAUGGGCACUAGAUCCUGGAGAAAUCCGGGGACGUUGGCCACUGUAACGCCCCGAUAUUUGCCGGGGUCACCAAGGCCAAUUUGGCCACGACACCGCCGAACGACGCGCGCGUUCCGCGUGUCCCGCGUUGCCGCCGUGCUGCCCCUUCCUUCUGCUGCUGCUCGCCCACUGCCCUCUCCUUCCUCUCCCUUUCUUCUUCCUCGAGCAGAGCUCGAAUGAGCUCGUGCGGCUCCCGUCCACCGGCCAAAUCCCCGGCCUCCGCCCCACCAUCUUCAAAUCGCCGCCAACCGAAGCUCCCUCACCUCUCUAGCUUCCUCCUCAGCCCCUCUGACAUGAGCCCGACCGCCGCACGGCCGGGAAACAAGGAUUCUCCGGCCGCCAGCCAUCCAUGGCCAUCGAGCUCCACCUCGACGUGGAACUCCUAGCUCCGGCCACCAUUUUCUUCGUCUAGCGGCUCAAAUCGAAGCUAGGUGAGGCACUAAUGCUCAUGCUCUCCUCGUUCCAGCGCGUUCCACGAGUUUCCGCGCUCGUUUCCGAGCCAUGCCGCCGCCGGCAUGCUGCUGCUCGUCGCGAGCCGGGCGCACGCGCCCCUGCGCCGCACCGCCGAGCGCCCCUACUCCGUCCGACCCUAAUGAAUCCUCCCAUGGCUUCCCCGUCGUCGACCCGCCUCGCCGUCGGCGAGAGCGCCGCCGCCAUCACCGCCUGUGGUACUGCUCCCGUCGCCGGCCCUCUCCGGUCGCCCCCAACCCCAACCAAGCCCACCUACAGGUACGAUAGAUGAACCACGUGAAGGAUGUGAUAUUGGAACCAAACACGAAGACGAUGUUUGGUGGACAUAUCCAGAAGAGGCAAAGAACCAGGAGUACAUGCUUGGACCGGAAUACUCGCCAAGCGAGUGUCAUCUAACAAACACGGACCUAGUGUUAAUCCCAGGCAAGCCCCGGAGCAUAACCUACUAUUUUAACUUAUGAAAUGUUAUAUAUAUUUACUUGAUUAUGCAUUAAGUUUCUAGGUGUUGGAUGAAACCCUAGUUGCAUGAUUCCUAGGUUCCAUUGGUCGGAAUACUAGUAUGUAUAUGUCGUUAUCCUUGCCGUGCUAAAAUCAGGAUUCGGUAGAAGUCGAGUAAUUUACUGUUACUCGCGAGAUA
Panicum virgatum (switchgrass) is the source of this 2540-nucleotide RNA transcript. It is a transcript of the gene named phosphoglycerate mutase-like protein 4, with no coding region annotated. The record is from RefSeq and is a predicted model, not a curated record. Lineage: Eukaryota; Viridiplantae; Streptophyta; Magnoliopsida; Poales; Poaceae. The transcript is spliced from 7 exons.